GAGCUGACUUACUGGAAAAGACGCUGAUGCUGGGAAAGAUUGAGGGCAGGAGGAGAAGGGUCCUAAUUAAACAUGUUGACUGUACAUCUGAUGAGCCAAAAUCACUGAUGCCUCAUCCACAGGUUAUGUCUCCCAUAAUUACCAAGCUGCAUCGGUCAGAGGAGGAGCCCAGCAGCAGCUUCAUCUUUCCAGAUGGAGAGUUUAGAGUCACAUGACUGUAUCCCUGUUAUUAGCACACACUAACGUGGGCUGUGGAUAUCCCCUGCUCACUGAAUCAUGACCAAGUCCUUUUCUGACAUAGUGACUUGUUGGAUGGACUAGAUUUCUGCUUUAAUACCCCACCCAGAUAUGCACUGGAACUUUUCUGGGCUUUGUUUUUUAGCUUUUUUUUUUUUUUUAAUAAACACUCAAAGUUCA
Bubalus bubalis (water buffalo) is the source of this 417-nucleotide long non-coding RNA. RefSeq lists it as uncharacterized. The transcript is spliced from 2 exons. NCBI's taxonomy places the organism in Eukaryota, Metazoa, Chordata, Mammalia, Artiodactyla, Bovidae. The record is from RefSeq and is a predicted model, not a curated record.